UCUUACGUCACACCCGGAGACGAGAUCGUGAUCGAGCUGAAUAAACCAGCCAAUCGGAACGUUCGGAUUUGCUGGCAUCCUUCUCAGAAGAAUAUGACGAACACUUCAGUCAUAAGCAACCGUGGUGAUCGCACCCAUCUGUCGUGUACCAACAAACAGACGGACAGACGAUACAGGAGCAGACGACAGAUUGACGGGUGUCUUAAUGGCGGGAGAUGAGGCGCGUGUCUUUCUUCAGGGUUCACCGCAGCACUAAUGGACAUUCCGUAUGUCCGCCCAGAUCUCUCGGCAGUGCAUGGCGUUCAGUCCAACAUGUCUUGUCAUGAACAGUUAUCAUAUAUAUCUGUAUAAAUGCUGCUAGUUGUGAUGUCAAUCUUGGUCCAUGUGUCUUUCUGAAGUGAAAUUCAUACGAAUAUUUUACAAAAUAUAUAAAGUCUUUCUUCAAUAAUA
This is a long non-coding RNA of Haliotis rubra (blacklip abalone), 450 nucleotides long. RefSeq lists it as uncharacterized. The record is from RefSeq and is a predicted model, not a curated record. NCBI's taxonomy places the organism in Eukaryota, Metazoa, Mollusca, Gastropoda, Lepetellida, Haliotidae. The transcript is spliced from 2 exons.